UAAGUUUUGCAAUGUUCGUGGAAGGACGCGUUCGUUCUAAGUGGUGUGCCAAAAUGAAAAGACAAUGCCCAAGACGAAGGCUUUGAUAGUUGACGACAAAAAAGAAGAAAACAAAAACCUAAAGCAAACAGGCUAUAAGCCAACAUCAACGAGAUGUAGUUGGUGCAGACAAAAAACAAGAAUUUGUUCUUUUUGCCAAUAAAAGAUAAUCAAAGAUUUAUAAUAAAGUGUAUGUACUAGUGUUUUAAAACAAAAACCAAAAAAAUUAUUGUGUGGAAUGUCCAAAAGAAAUUCCAAAACAAAACAUAAGUGUGUGUGUGUGUGUGCAGUACAAUAAAACAAAAUAAAGUGAAAUGUGAAUGAAAGUAAAAGUGUAUUAAAUAAGCAAAAUUAUUGAAUCAUAAAAAUACAACGAAUAGCCAGAAGAAUAAAACAAAUACAUCUUCCUUUUGUUAAAUGUGUGAAAAAUUACAUAAAAAUCAGCAUUGUCUAUGAUCUACAAGGCAUUUCCUCAAGUGUUAAUAAAAAUGUUGGUCCAUUUGCAUGAUGAAAUGGCGCUUCAGCCCCACAAAAGAGCCUUCAAAGAGUGUCGUAAAAGUGAAUUGUGUUUUUAUUGUAUUUCUGGCUGCUCUACACAUGGGCCCUAAAAUAUUUUGCCGCUAUAUGAACAAGAAUAAGCAUCCUUUAGAGUUUGUUACUAAUUCGAAUUGAAAAUGUGUCGAAAAAUAAAAUGCCGUACAUACAAAAUCUAUUGAAAUCAAAUCACUCCAAUUAAAAUAUUCACACGAUUUGAAGAGAGUGAAAUGCCAAGAGAAGGUAAAAGCAAACAAAAACAAAAAAAGCCAGUAAAUGUGAAUGAAUUACAGUAAUUGCAACGCCAAUUAAUUGACAUAACUAGCCGAGUUUGUAAAACAUUUCGAAUUCCAACAGCCAAUGGGUGAGCGUUGCUAGAAUUUACAUAAAAUUGCAAAUUACAGUGAAAACAAAAACGAAAAAGGAUCAAGUCACCAGCCAAACAGCCAGCAGUCAGCCAGCCGCCUGAAUGCAA
This is a long non-coding RNA of Stomoxys calcitrans (stable fly), 1048 nucleotides long. RefSeq lists it as uncharacterized. The record is from RefSeq and is a predicted model, not a curated record. NCBI's taxonomy places the organism in Eukaryota, Metazoa, Arthropoda, Insecta, Diptera, Muscidae. The transcript is spliced from 3 exons.